GCCUGCCUGGCUUAGCUGGUAGAGCAUGGGACUCUUGAUCUUGGGGUUGUGGGUUCGAGCCCCAUGUUGGGUA
Molecule: transfer RNA, 73 nt
Filed under: Mustela putorius furo (domestic ferret)
Lineage: Eukaryota; Metazoa; Chordata; Mammalia; Carnivora; Mustelidae
Rfam family: tRNA
About the family: Transfer RNA (tRNA) molecules are approximately 80 nucleotides in length. Their secondary structure includes four short double-helical elements and three loops (D, anti-codon, and T loops).
Source: Rfam by way of RNAcentral